This 112-nucleotide Y RNA is filed under the name Prolemur simus (greater bamboo lemur). RNAcentral's name for it is "Y RNA (ENSPSMG00000008169.1)". It matches the Rfam family "Y RNA". Rfam says of the family: Y RNAs are components of the Ro ribonucleoprotein particle (Ro RNP), in association with Ro60 and La proteins. The record is from Rfam by way of RNAcentral. Lineage: Eukaryota; Metazoa; Chordata; Mammalia; Primates; Lemuridae.
GGUUGGUCCGAAGUAGUGCGUUAAUCUCAACUGAUGGUUCACAGUCAGGUACGAUUGAACUCCUUGUUCUACCCUUUCCCCCCUUCUCCCUACUGCACUUGAUUAGUCUUAA